Molecule: ribosomal RNA, 253 nt
Filed under: uncultured bacterium
Lineage: Bacteria
Description: partial 16S ribosomal RNA
Rfam family: Bacterial small subunit ribosomal RNA
Source: RNAcentral
UACGUAGGGGGCAAGCGUUGUCCGGAAUCAUUGGGCGUAAAGAGCGCGUAGGCGGCCCGGUAAGUCCGCUGUGAAAGUCAAGGGCUCAACCCUUGAAUGCCGGUGGAUACUGUCGGGCUAGAGUCCGGAAGAGGCGAGUGGAAUUCCUGGUGUAGCGGUGAAAUGCGCAGAUAUCAGGAGGAACACCAAUGGCGAAGGCAGCUCGCUGGGACGGUACUGACGCUGAGGUGCGAAAGCGUGGGGAGCAAACAGG